AUGUCACUCCCGCUCGGCGAAUCAAUCGCAAGUCCCAACCCAGAAAAAGAGGCAGAGUGAAAGGAAAGGGCUUUUGAUAGAGCCCUUUACAGGAGGAGAUGCUCAGGGCGCGAUAAAGCUCGUCACGAGACCGAGAAAGCUCAUCAGUGGAAGAAAUGUGUCACGUUUUCAUGGGCGGGCUAUUGAGAAGAAUGAGGUUCUCAUAUCAGAAUCCCUAUUCAAACGAGGGGAGAAGGAACUGUUAACGAACAGUAGGUGUUCUCUUCAAAGCAAGCAAGACCGGCGAAGGGUUAAAGCGAUUCUUUUGAAAAGAGUCUUCGUUGAAGUGAGCUCCUGUCUAAUAGUAGACAGGCAGCAUGCUCUUCUCCGAUGUAUUCUUUUAGGCGAAGAAGCGGUUUAUCCGAGAGUGGGGUUACUUACCAGAGAGUUUGGCUUGGUCUUGCUUUCUUCUUUGUUGAGCAGUUAUCUAAUUCGUCCUCAUUGCCAAUCUUUACUCCUGCUUCAGACCUGUUUAAAGUCUCCGUAAUGUCCGAGCGUUAG
Molecule: non-coding RNA, 540 nt
Organism: Vicia faba (fava bean)
Lineage: Eukaryota; Viridiplantae; Streptophyta; Magnoliopsida; Fabales; Fabaceae
Source: the annotation of a GenBank genome assembly